Molecule: long non-coding RNA, 125 nt
Organism: Leopardus geoffroyi (Geoffroy's cat)
Lineage: Eukaryota; Metazoa; Chordata; Mammalia; Carnivora; Felidae
Exons: 4
Source: RefSeq, a predicted model, not a curated record
ACUUGUGCUCUUCAGAUCUCAGCUUCCAUUCUAUUUUAGAUUAAAUUCUCAACUGAUCUUGCUUUCUAUCCUGUUUGUGGUCAAAUAAUAGAAUGAACACCCAUUCCAAAGCUUUAUUACCAGUG